GACAGAGGGGGCAAGCGUUAUUCGGAAUCACUGGGCUUAAAGGGCGCGUAGGCGCGCCGCCAAGUCAGGGGUGAAAUCCCACGGCUCAACCGUGGAAGUGCCUUUGAUACUGGCGGCCUCGAGGGAGGCAGGGGCGUGCGGAACUUUGGGUGGAGCGGUGAAAUGCGUAGAUAUCCAAAGGAACACCGGUGGCGAAAGCGGCGCGCUGGACCUCUUCUGACGCUGAGGCGCGAAAGCCAGGGGAGCAAACGGG
Molecule: ribosomal RNA, 253 nt
Filed under: uncultured bacterium
Lineage: Bacteria
Description: partial 16S ribosomal RNA
Rfam family: Bacterial small subunit ribosomal RNA
Source: RNAcentral